UCCCCGCCCCUCCAACUGGCCCCGCCCUCCAGCGGGCCCCGCCCCCUCCAGCCGCCCGGGCGCGGUGGGGGAUGGGGGUGAAAAAUGCGCUGGUUAGAGACUGGAUCUCACCUGGACAGCAGGUGCAGCUUUGGUCCCUGCGGGCUCAGAGGUCUGCCUUUCGGAAACUUGCUCUGUUCGAGGUCCUGGGAAAGGAAUGAAGGUGUGUCAGCGUGGCCAUGGGGCCCCAACUCCAUAGACCGCCCCAGCCCAGAUCUUCUUUGUUCUCCUCGUCCUCCUCGGAGGAUCUUUCUGGCGUCUCUCCUGCCCCUGAUCUGGCUAUGGGAUUCUCAGAUUCUCUCUUGCAGUCCACCAUGGAAGUAGUGGCAGGGUUUCUCCACGUUGCCCAGGCUGCUCUUGAACUCCCGACCCCUGAAGCCUUUGUCUCCAAGAAUCUAGCAAAGUGACAGUAAUGAAUACAAUGUCACUAAAGGGCCAGCACCACGGAAGAAAUCUCAGUGGAACACCUGACUUCAAGUGUGACCUCGAUUCUCACUGAAAUGAAAUCUCGCUCAGGUGAAACUGUCAGUUCCCCAGAAAUGCGAGGAACCGAGAAGCAGUAGCGACAUCACAGGGAAGCAGCCAGCCUCGCACAAACCGGAGAAACACACGGCGCAAAGGCCCCAGGGCUCCUGCAAGUCAGAUGCAGGGCAGAAGCCACCAACUGCCCUCAUACGAACAGGCAAACUAGAGAAGAAAACCCACCUUUUUUUAUUUGAGACGGAGUUUCGCUGUCAUUACCCAGGCUGGAGUGCAAUGGCGCGAUCUCGGCUCACCGCAACCUCCGCCUUCUGGGUUCAAGCAAUUCUCCUGCCUCAGCCUCCCAAGUAGCUGGGACUACAGGCGCGCACCACCAUGCCCAGCUAAUUUUUGUAUUUUUAGUAGAGACGGGGUUUCACCUUGAAACCCCAGGAUGGUCUCAUUGACCAGGAUGGUCUUGAUCUCUUGACCUCGUGAUCCACCCGCCUCAGCCUCCCAAAGUGCUGGGAUUAUAGGCGUGAGCCACCACGCCCGGCCGAAAACCUGUUUACAACAGUGGAAAAUCAGUUGCUGGGCACACUGGCUCACACCUGUAAUCCCAGCACUUCGGGAGGCUGAGGUGAGAGGAUUGCAUAAGUCCAGGUGUUUGAGUACAGCCUGGACAACAUAGCAAGACCCCAUCUCUCAGAAAAAAAACAAAAAAACAAAAAAACCCAAAUAAUUAACAAAGAAAAAAAAAUUAGCUGGGUAUGUCAGUGCACACCUAUAAUCCUAGCUACUCAGGAGGUUGAGGUGGGAGGAUCACCUGAACCCAGGAGGUCAAGGCUGCAGUGAGCCGUGAUUGAGCCACUGCACUCCAACCUUGGGCAAGAAAGCAAGACCCUGUCUCUAAAAACAGAAAGAAAAAGAAACUUAGGACACAGAUCAUCCACAGUCAUUGUGGGCCCUUAUGGGAUCCUGAUUCUAACCAAGUUAUCCCCAAAAAGAUACACUGGACAAGAUCAGGACAUCUGAGUCUAGACUGCCACGAAAUGACGUUAACGAUGUUACAGGAUGACCAUGAACUUGGCUGCGAUAGGAGUUUUGUAAAAGGGUCUUUAUCAGAAAGCGCUGCACGGGGGCACUUGUGGGAGUGAUGGGAAAACUGCUGGGAUUUGCUAGGUUUUUUUUUUUUUUGAGACAGAGUCUUGCUCUAUCCCUCAGGCUGGAGUGCAGUGGCACAAUCUCGACUCACUGCAACCUCUGCCUCCCGGGUUCAAGCGAUUCUCCUGCCUCAGCCUCCUGAGUAGCUGGGAUUACAGGCAUGCACCACCACGCCCGGCUAAUUUUUGUAUUUUCAGUAGACACGGGGUUUCAUCAUGUUGGCCGGGAUGGUCUUGAACUCCUGACCUCAGGUGAUCUGCCCGCCUGUGCCUCCCAAAGUGCUGGGAUUACAGGAGUGAGCCAUUAUGCUCAGCCUGGGAUUUGCUUUAAGCUGGAGCUUCUCUAAGUUGAAGAUGCAUGUGAAUAUCCAAAUUCUUUAGUUUUUGCCACGAGGUCUCACUCUUUCACAAAGGGUUGGAGUACAGUGGCACGAUUACAAUUCACUGCAGCUCAACCUCCUGGGCUCCAAUGAUCCUUCUGCCUCAGGCUUCCUGAGUAGCUGGGACUACAGGUACGUGCCACCAACCCAGCGAAUUUCUUGUAGUUUUUGUAGAGACAGUGUUUUGCCAUCUAGCCUAGGCUGGUCUCAAACUCCUGGCCUCAAGCAGUCCUCCCGCUUCAGCCUCCCAAAGUGCUGUGAUUACAGGCAUGAGCCACUGCACCCGACCCAUUUUUAUUUUAGUAUAGAAAGUUUCAAGCAUUGCUGGGUGUCCCAGCUACUUGGGAGGCUUAGGCGGGAGGAUUGAGUGAGGCCAGGAGUUUGAGACCAGCCUGGGCAACAUAAUAAGACUCUCUCUAUAUAAAAGAUUUAAACAUUGGCAGCGUGUGGUGGCACAUGCCUGUAAUCCAUCGCUUUGGGAGGUUGAGGCAGGGAAACCGUUUGAGCUCAGAAGUUCCAGACCAGCCUGGGAAAUAUGGCAAAACCGCAUCUCUACAAAAAAAUAUAAAAAAUUAGCUAGGCGUGGUGAUGUGUGCCUGUAGUCCCAGCUACUCAGGAGGCCAGGGUAGGAGAAUCACCUGAGUCCUGGAGACCAAGGUUGCAGUGAGUCAUGAUCACACCACUGCACUCUAGCCUGGGUGACAGAGUGGAGGCCCCAUCUCAUAAAAUAUCACAAAGAAAAAAGUAUAUACUAAUUUAAAAAUUGGCCGGGCAUGGUGGCACAUGCCUGUAGUCCCAGCUACUUGGGAGGCUGAGGCAGGAGGAAUGCUUUAGCCUGGAGUUCAAGGCCGCAGUGAGCUACCAUUGCCCCACCAGGUUGUACGCCAACCUGGGCAAAAGAGUGAGACUGUAAAUAAAAAAGAGAAAGGAAAACUGAAAGUAUGUGCAGUGCAUGGAAGGCUUGCUGUAGCAGGGUUAGGCUUAGGGUUAGGGUUAGGGUUGCUGCCUGUGCCUGCAUCAGGGUCUCAUGGAGGCAAAGGCAGAUAACAGGGCCUCUGAGAAUCCAGUUCUUUUUUUUUGUUGUUGUUGAUACAAAGUCUCACUCUGUCACCCAGGCUGGAGUGCAGUGUGUGAUCCCGGGUCACCACGACCUCUGCCUUCCGAGGUCAAGCGAUUUUCCUGCCUCAGCCUCCCGAGUAGCAGGGAUGACAGGCACCUGCCACCAUGCCUAGCUGAUUUUGUAUUUUUAGUAGAGACAGGGUUUCGCCAUGUUGGCCAGGCUGCUCUCAAACUCCUGACCUCGUGAUCCACCUGCCCCAGCCUUACCAAAGUGCUCAGCUUACAGGUGUGAGCCACAGUGCCCAGCCAAUUCUCCUUCUUUCUAAGUCCCCUGCUGGAAGAGUCUAGGAAGCAGAUCCGACGAUGCCUCCCUGGCCUGAGCCCCCUCUCCUACCCCCAGGCCCCUCUCCUGCCCUGAGUCCCCACAGUCUCACCA
Callithrix jacchus (white-tufted-ear marmoset) is the source of this 3536-nucleotide non-coding RNA. The record is from RefSeq and is a predicted model, not a curated record. Lineage: Eukaryota; Metazoa; Chordata; Mammalia; Primates; Cebidae.